GGCAUGCACCACCACAUCUGU
RNAcentral lists this unclassified non-coding RNA (21 nucleotides) under Mus musculus (house mouse). RNAcentral describes it as "oocyte_clustered_small_RNA11540". The record is from RNAcentral. Lineage: Eukaryota; Metazoa; Chordata; Mammalia; Rodentia; Muridae.